CAGGGUGGGGUGGUGGGAAGUCCCUGGAGAGUCUUCAGCAUGAAAGUGACAAGAGCUGAUGCAUGAUUAAAAAAAAAAAAUUUUUUUUUGUCAUGGCAAAAUAUCACAACAGAAUUUACCAUUGAAGCCAUUUUUAAAUGUAGGGUUCAGUGGUGUUAAGUGCAUUAACAUUGUGCUGCCAUCAUCCAUCCUUUUCCAGAACUGCUUCAUCUUUCCAAACUGAAACUCCUUGCCUUCUAAACACUGAUUCCCCACUUCCAGCCCGGCACCCACCAUUCUGCUUUGUCUCUAUAAAGUAUUCCCACUACCACGUGCUUAUGGAAAAUCACCUGACCGUACACGCAUGGGUUUAUUUCUGGGCUCUGUUCUAGUCCACCGGUCUCUAUGUCUGUGUAUACCGAUGCCACAUUGUACACAUUACUGCAGCUUUGUAGUGAGUGUGGAGAGGAAGGGCGAGAUCUCCAGCUUUGUUCUUUCUAAGGAGCGUUUGGACUAUUCAGAGUCCCUUGAGAUUCCAUAUGAAUUUUAGGAUGCAUUUUUCUACUUCUGCAGAAAAUGUUGUUGGCCAAUAUGAUAUUACGUUAGGGUGUGGUGAGCAGUUCAGGCAAGAUAUGAUGGUGCUUCCGAAGGUCUAGGUGGUGUGGGGUAUAGAGCAACCUGCAGGGAUUUGGGGAGGGUUUGGACGGUGAAAGUAACAGCAUUUAGUGCUAGAUUGGAGGUACGUGAGGAAGAAAAGAGGAAUCCAGAAUGACUCCUUCGUUGGAGGUUGGAGGAAAUGGUGAUGCCUAUUUCUGAGAUGGGAAGAAUGGGGAAGGGGUAUCAAGAGUUCCUUUGAGGACACGGGAAGUCCAAGAUGUCUGGGAGACUGGCAGGUGGAAGAGGGGCCAGCUGCACUGUGGACACCCAAGCGUGGGGGGCAGGGGUGACUGCAGAGCUGGGGAGAGACAUACGCAUGUCAGCACCAGAUGGGUGCCAGGUCAUGCCACACUUGGGGCCAGGGGGAGGAGGAGGCAGCGAAGGUGGCCGUAAGCUCCUGGAGAGAUUAUCCCUGAGCGUAAAAAAAAAUCAUAGUGAACCCAGAGUCUUCCAUGACUGUGUGCAUCCCAGGCUGAAGCAGUGAGGCGCCUGACAUUUGAGUGGGCAGCGGACCACCUGGGCGUCAUUCGCACUAACCUCGGGGGUUGGGAACUCCCAGCCCCCCAUGCAGCCCACUUCCGGCCCACCUGCUCUUCACCAGGACCCCUGGAUGUCCCUUCUUUACCCCUCUGCAGGUGUCCUAACUGCCUUCCCUGCGCACCUCCUCUCCUCCAGCUGGUCCUUGUCUAUGCAUUCGGAGCCCCGGCAGCCUGAAGAUGGGAAAGUGUCUUAUUCGUCUUUGUUUUCCCAUUGUCCAGUGUGGAGCCUGGCACAUGGAUCUCUGGAUAGAGAGCGGGGAUCUCAACAACACCCAGGGAAGUGGAAGUAGAAUGAACGUUGGUCUGGAAAUGAUAACAACAUAACAAAAGCUAAGGGGACCCUCUCCUGCACUCCUUCACGGCGGAUGGGCCCUGGCGGGGCCUCUGCAAGGCGAGGCGGGGCGGAGGGGUGCCCGCACGACAGCAAGCCAGCGACCGCGCAGCUCCCACAAACCUGUGCAGCACCAACGCUUGGGAAGACAGGUUGGCAGUUCUUAAAAUGUUAAACGCAUUCUUCUAUGUGACCCAGCAGCUCCGCUCCCGAUAUUGAGCCCAAGAAGCAAACGCUUAUGUCCACACAGAAGAUUGUCCCUGAGCGUUCAGCUCAGCUUCAGUCACAGUGGCCACAAACGGAAACAACGCGAAUGCCCAUGAACAGAUGGACUGGUGACCGAAUGACGGCACGUCCACACAAUGGACCUCGCCAGAAAAAACUGCCCAUACAGCAACCCAAACAAGUCUCCAAAGCUUAUGCUAAACCAAAGAAGCCAGACACAGAAGAGUACAUGACUCCGUUUAUGUGAAAUCCUAGAUCAGGCCAAACUAAUUUAUAGCGACAGAGAACAGACCCUCGGUUGCUUGCUGCGGUGGGGAUGGAGCCGGCCACGGGGGCCUGCGGGAAGACGAUCCGGGUCCUGAUUGUGCCAGGUGCUCACAGGGCAACACUUCUAGAUGAUACAGAAAAAUGAGAGAAAGCAGACAUGUACAAGGAGGAUGAGGAACCGCCGCCGUCCUGAGGUGCGCCCCUCCAGACCCCCGUUACAGAGAGAAGGGCACUCCGGGCCGAAGGAACAGCUUACACAAAGAAUGGCCCCAAAGAAGCUUAAGUCCCCGCCCUGGAGCGUAGAAGGCCGUGAAACUGCUGCACACCUCAUUUUGGCACGGAAUCAUGUCCGCUUGGUGUGGUCACCCUGGUGGGAGCCUCUGCCGAUCUGAAGCUCUGGUGGGGAUUUUCAGUGAGUCUGAUUAAUGAAGCAUUCCCCCCGCACUGGCCAGCCUGGAUGGGCUCAUGCACGGCUGUGCACUGACGUCCCGGGGGACUCUCUGGCAUGUGUAUCUACGGCCUUAAAAGGCUUUUGCCUUUGAUCCGGGAAUUCUGCUUCUGGAACUGUCUCUAAGGAAAUCAUCUGAAAUUUGGAAAGAGCAUUAUGCACAAAGAUGCUCAGAACAAUGUUAUAUAUAGCAGUAAACGUAGGAACAUUCAGCUCUUGAAGGAUAGGCAUUUGGUUAAGUGACAGUGGUGUAGCCUUGAUGGGGUAUUGUGUAGUCAUUAUAAGUAAGAUACACGAACACAGAAUGUGGUACAGGUGUCCCCAGAUACCCACUGCCUGCCCUCCACUAGCUCCUGCCAUUGGUCUGGCCAGAUUUAGGCGGGGGUGGGCGAGGGGAGGAAGGAAAGGUAUUGUUAAUGUCAGGAAUAAGAACUACAUCCAGUCUGAAGAUGAUGUUCGUAACUCUCGGGGGCGUGAAGGAUGCUCCCAUUAGCUGGGAGUCAGGCUAUGUUGCUGUAGGCACCAUGUACUUACAACCACCCCAACUGGAAACUUGGGCUAAAAUCUGGGAAAGCUUUCGGGAAAUAAUUUUUCACAGCUAUCUCAAGUUUCCUUGUGAGUUCGGCAUCAAGGAAUAUUACAGAAUCAACAAUAUAUAUCCAAGUGUCCUUAUUUUAAAAAAUAUUUUAUUUAUUUAUUUGACAGAGAGAGAGAGCUCGCACAAGCAGGGGGUGCGGCAGGCAGAGGGAGAGGGAGAAGCCGGCUUCCCGCUGAGCAGGGAGCCCGAUGCGGGGCUCGAUCCCAGGACCCUAAGAUCAUGACCUGAGCCGAAGGCAGACGCUUCACUGACUGAGCCACCCAGGCGCCCCUGUCAAAGUGCCUUUAAAUAGAAACACACAUGAAAUGAAGUUGUUUAUUGUCCAGCUGGCGAAAAUGUCGUGAUCAGGGGCUUGCAGAAACCUCACCACCUAUGUCCCUGAGGAGCAGUGGUUCAGUAUUUAUUAAUUCAGUGUUUAUAGCAACUCUUAUAACUGCCACCAAAAACGAGUAUCAACUAUCUUAUAAAGCAAAAAGAAACAAAUGUGCUUUAGUGGUGAGAAGCCUGUCUUCCCUUCAGUCAGGGCUCUUGGCCUUGUGUGAAACGGUGAUGUCUGGGUCCUCCUGACCUCGGAUCAGAGCCCCUCAGCUGUCCUGCAGUCCUUCAUGGGCUGCCAGAAACUUGGGAACGUUCCUUACCUUCGUUGACUCCCCACUGCCUCUCGCCUUGGAAGAGAGACCGUGGUGGAGCCCCCGCCCUGGUGCCUAGCGCUGACUUGGUGCUCCAUUGACGUUCUACCUGCCACCGCGGUCCUCCUGACCGUGGUCAUCUCAUCAGCCCUCCUGUGCCCAUUCUGUAGGGGGUGAGACAGGGGCUCAGAGCAGCCUUGGGGCUCACGCAGAGUCAGGUAGUGAAGCAGAGGGGCACCGGCCUGGCUCAGACAUAGAGUGUGAGACUCUUGAUCUCAGGGUCAUGAGUUCAAGCCCCACGUGGGGUGAGGAGACUACUUAAAAAAAAAAAAAGGAGCACCUGGGUGGCGCAGUCUGUUGAGCAUCAGACUCUUGGUUUUGGCUCAGGUCAUGACCUCGAGGUCAUGGGAUCCACAUUCCCAGGUCAGGCUCAGCACUCAGUGGUGAGUCUGCUUGGGAUUCUCUCACCCUCUCUCUCUGCCCCUCCCGCUUGUGCACGCAUGUUCUCACUCUCUCUCUCUCUCAUGAACAAAUAAAUCUUAAAAAAAGGGAGGGGGCCUCCUGGUUAAGCUUCUCAGUCGGUGAAGCAUCUGCCUUUGGCUCAGGUCAUGAUCUCAGGGUGCUGGAAUCGAGUCCUGCAUUGGGCUCCCUGCUCAGCAGAGAGUCUGCUUCUCCCUCUCCCGCUGCCCCUCCUCCCUGCUUGUGCUCUCUCUCUCUCUCUGUCUUAUAUAAAUAAAGUCUUAAAAAAAAAAAAAAAAGAAAGCGAGAGAAAAAAGAAGAGGCAGAGAUAAGAUUCAGAUUCUGGGCCGGCCAACUCCAGAGACUGGCUUCUUCCUCCUGCAGUUCUUAUGUGGUUGAGUCCUCUUGGCUCUUUCCGUGCCUUUGUUUCAUACCCUUACAAACCUUGUUCCAUUCGACUUGGGCGCUGGUACCCUGCAUGGCCGAGCCCCUCCUCUUCCCCAAGCUGCAGCCACGGGCCCACUGCCAUUACUGGAAGCUUUGGAAAUAAAGACUUCCCACAUGCCUCCACUACUCCAGAGUUCACGUUUGGUAGUUCCCUCCCAGGCGUUUACCAUGGGCAGAUUCAGUUUGUAUGUUCAUUCUUGUUCUUUGUCCAAUUUGGCAUCCUGCAUUUUUGCUUAAUAUUAAAGCAUUUCUCUUGCUCCUUUUAAUGAUUGCUCCUUGUUUACAGACUAGUGGAAGGAAAUACAUUUAAUUAGUAGCUGUGUCUUAUAAUAGUGCAAUUCUGGAAUAUUUUUCUUCUUUCCCUUAUUUUUCUUGAAAUAUAUUAAAAAAAAAAUAUGGUGAGGCGCCUGGGGGGCACAGUCCAUUGAGCAUUGGACUCUUGGUUUGGGCUCAGGUUGUGAUUUCGGUAUCAUGAGAUCAAGCCCUGCAUCAGGCUCUGUGCUCAGCACAGAGUCUGCUUGGGAUUCUCUCUCCCUCUCCCUCUGCCUCUCCCCGCUCAUGUGAAUGCACUCUGUC
Molecule: long non-coding RNA, 5155 nt
Organism: Mirounga angustirostris (Northern elephant seal)
Lineage: Eukaryota; Metazoa; Chordata; Mammalia; Carnivora; Phocidae
Exons: 4
Source: RefSeq, a predicted model, not a curated record